RNAcentral lists this long non-coding RNA (1036 nucleotides) under Anolis carolinensis (green anole). Its description in RNAcentral is "lncRNA (ENSACAG00000040595.1)". The record is from RNAcentral. Lineage: Eukaryota; Metazoa; Chordata; Lepidosauria; Squamata; Anolidae.
AAAAGCUGACACAAUAUGAGGAUUUAAAGAUUGAAUUACAAAGACUCUGGCACAAGCCAGCCAAGGUGGUCCCAGGGGUAAUCGGCACACUGGGUGCAGUGUCUAAAGACCUUGGCCUGCACUUAAACACAAUCGGCGCUGACAAAAUCCCCACCUGCCAGCUGCAGAAGGCCACCUUACUGGGAUCUGCACGCAUUAUUCGCCGAUACAUCACACAGCCCUAGACACUUGGGAAGUGUCCGACGUAUGAUCCAAUACAACCACCAGCAGAGUGUGUGCUGUGGACUCAUCUUGUUGUGUUUCAAAUAAUAAUAAUAAUGGCUUUAAGAGAAGAAGAGACCCCUUGGGUCAUUUAGCCCAACCCCCUUCUGCCUUUGUGCACCGAAAGCACAAGCACAGCACCCCUGACAGAUGGCCACCCAGCCUCAAUGUUAAUAAUAAUAAUAAUAAUAAUAAUAUAACCCUUGUGCCAUGGGGCCGGAUAAAUGGCUUCGAUGGGCCACAUCCGGCCCCCGGGCCUUAGUUUGGGGACCCCUGCUCUACUGUAUUAUUAUUAUUAUUAUUAAGAGACCUAUGGGCCAUCCAGUUCAACCCCAUUCUGCCAAGAAGCAGGAAAACCGCAUUCAAAGCCCCCCUGACAGAUGGCCACCCAGCCUCGGUUUAAAAGACUCCAAAGACGGAGCCUCUACCAGACUCCGGGGCAGAGAGUUCCACUGCUGAACAGUUCUCUCUCACAGUGAGGAAGUUCUUCCUCAUGUUCAGGUGAAAUCUCCUUCCUUUCCUGUAGUUUGAAGCCAUUCAGGGCAGCAAAAAACAAGCUUGCUAAUUCCUCCCCAUGACUCUCCUCAUAUCUCCUCUCAACCUUCUCUUCUGCAAGCUAAACAUGCCCAGCUCUUUAAGCCGCUCCUCACAGGGCUUGUUCUCCGGAUCUUUGAUCCUUUGAGUCACCAUCCCCGGACACAUUCCAGCUUGUCAACAUCUCCCUCCAUCAAAGGGGAGAUGGAGGCACUGACCCCUCUUUCUCCCUCAAUUCCAG